RNAcentral lists this long non-coding RNA (270 nucleotides) under Mytilus galloprovincialis (Mediterranean mussel). Lineage: Eukaryota; Metazoa; Mollusca; Bivalvia; Mytilida; Mytilidae. The record is from RNAcentral.
UAUAUAUGUAACACUCAGAAACGUGUCCUUCCCCCCAAACGUGUCCGAUUCCCCAAACGUGUCCACAUCAACGUCACUGAACUGCAAAAACAUGUCUAGUUGUCAAAGUGCGCCAAAGCGUGUCAUUUGUAUAAACGUUCAAACGUGUCCAUUUUUUAAUAAACCCCCAAUCGUGUCCAAUCCCCCAAACGUGUCCAUUUCAAGCUUUUUAUUUUACUGGAACUAUCAUUCGUGUUCAUAAUAUAAAAACGUAGGUUAUUUGUGUGGUUU